CUCUCAAGAAACUUGACCAAAGAAGCACGUCUAGCUAUAGCCGAAUCUCUCAUCAUUUUCUCUAUUUCUGCACUGCUUGGCUCUUUUCCCCAUCGUGAGGUAGCGGCUGUUGUCUCAGCAAGGGUCCCUGCAACUAAAGGCUGCUUAGCUGCUUCGGAAUAUGAAAUAAUAGAUGUCGCUGCUUUCUGCCUUGCUCGUUCUUCGUCGUCCUGUUGGACUGCUACACGUUUCUCUACUUCUACCAGUGCAUAUGAAAUACCAGGUGGCAAGAAGUCAUUACCCCUGUAAAAGACAAUAUAGUCCUUGUUCCUGGAAAGUAAUGUUCCUCCAGUUAAUAUCUGCAUUAAUGACAUAGGAUUAAUCAAUGCCGAGAACGCUGUUAAGCUAAAUAAUGAUGUUUUGGGAUUAUGUUGGGAAAAAGUGACAUUCAUUCAAAUAUAUAAUUUUCACAAUUAUUAGUUUUUUGAACAUUGUUGUUUGGUUCUUUCUUUGGAAGGUUAUUUUUGAAAUGUAGGCGGGGCAGUUGGAUAAAAAUUAGUAAUUAACAUAACCCGAAAGCAACUAGUACAUGAUCUAUUUCAAACCUUAAGUUCUUCCGCCAUCCUUUCAUUCAAAGUAUUUUGUACACCGCGUUUGAUGGCUAUCUUUGCAAUAGCACUCUUCUUCCAUAACUUCACCAUGGCCAUAGCAAGACCUUGCAAUUCUCUGUUUCUUCCUAGAUCAUUAAGCAAAUAUAGCUAAUAAAAAACAAAAAUCUGAAUAUUAAAUAAAUUCACAUAUCAUGUUGAGCAUACCGAGGGCAAAAUGUGGAAGCAUUUUUCUGGCAGUUCUGCGAAAAUAUGUCAUUUCUUUGUUCCGUAAUGCUUGUCUAACCCCAUUGGGAAGUAGUCUAAAUGGGGGUCUAUAUCCUGGAACGACAGCAGGCAGCAAGUCUGCAUCAACAGGCAGCGGUUCCGGACCUGACCAAUCUAUGAACCUUGGACCAAGCUCGUCUAAAAGAAGGUUGAGCUCACUUAGAUCCAUUAGCUCCUCUUCAGAUAGACCAUUCAAAUACUUAGAAGUAUAAUUUUGAGAUGAUUCUGCAGCUCCAGAUAACAGUUUCACGUUACCGCAUUGAGUAACAUCAUUAACAGAAUCUGACGAAGAUCUAGCCUCAAUAUCAGCUUGAAUACGUUUACUAUAUGCUUGCACACAAUCAAGUUGGUAAGACAUUCCUCUGUAUAGAACUACCGAACUUCCUGAUCUCCAUAUAACCAAACCUCCAGUUCUAGCCUAACAAUUAAACAGCACAAUAUAUGGAAGAAGAAAUACACUUCAUCAUGAAUUCUUGUAAACCGUGAUACAAAUAAAUCGUAAAAUUGAAAUUUGAAGAGAAACUACAAUGGUAAGAAUGUAAUGAACAAAGAAAUAGUUUAAUGCUCACGAAAUUAGCAAUUCAACUUGAAGGCAGCAUUUACCCACUAGUACAAUAAACAUUUAUUACAAUUGGCAGUUAAAUCAUUCUUCUCUACUAAAAAACUUAAGAUAAGUGGACACUUACCUCAAGAAUCUCAUGUGUCCUCUUCAUGUUCUUUGAAGGAGGCCCUUCAAAUUUCAAUUUUACGAUUUCCUCGUCCUUCCAUUUCGCGUGGAUUGCAUCGGUUAAUGCUUGUGUUAUUCCCGCUGCCCCGACUUUCAUUCUCUCUACCAUCCUCAAUGCCACAUUUCUAAGCCUCUUCAGUUCAGGUUCCGGUAUCAAUUUUUCUGCCAACUCUGUAUUACUCUUCCUUAACUUCUCCUCUUUCACAGGGUCCUCAUUAGUUCCUCUCUGCCAUGGUAAUCUCAUAGAAUCACUAACAUCAUCUGAUCCUUUUUUACUGCUGAAUUCUUGAGAAAUGCUCCGUGAAUCCUCCACAAAAAAGGCAUCUUCACUCUCGUCUUCAAUCAAAAUCUCAUAUUUUUCUGAUAAUCCUAUAGGGAUAGUAUCAACCUUGCCACUUGUUUCAUCACAAUUGCAAUCUAAUUUAACUCCCUUUAUCAAAUCCCCAGAGUCUUCAACAACACUACCAAAAGCUUCAUCAUUUUUACAAUGCUCAGAAAACCCAUCAAGGUUUUGCCCUCUAUGAUUACUUUCUUCUUGAAUUUUUUCUGUAGCUUGAGAAUCAGGCAAGUCCUUCCUUGGUUUAUUUCCAUGAACCCAAGGAGCUAAAAUCGACUUAUUUCUUGAACUAGAGCUCGCAGAGCUAUCCCCAGAAGUAUUGUCCUCACUUACUGUCACAGUAACGACACCCUCAGAUAACGGCAGCAGAUGUUCUUCAUAAUCCUGAAUCGAAUCAUCACUCUCUUGUUUAUGUUCUUCCCAAGGGAAUUUCUCUCUUAAAGAAGGGAUUUUGAGGGACCAUUUAUCUUGAAUUUUUUCAAUAAAGCUUGGCCUGGGUUUUCUCUUCUUCUUUACAGGGUUGGUUUCGUGUUGAACGGAUUUUGUGCAAGAAAUUUUCAAUUUUUGACCUCGAAAUCUGUUUGAACAAUGGGGUUGUGAGUGAAAUGUGAUCAAGUAGAAAGAUUGAGAAGAAUAUGAAGAUGAAGCAGAGAACAAAUUCGAAGGCAGGGGUGAAGGAGCCAUGGUGAUGAGGUUGAAGAAUCUCUGCGAGAACGAGCCUUAAAAAGAUGGCCUGAAAAUUUCUGACUAACCCAAAUUGCCAAUGAAAAUGGGUUUAGGAAUUUUACAUAAAUAGCAUUAAAUGUGGGAAACUAUGAUCGCUUGGCAUCUUAAUAGUUAAUAGAAUAGAACUAAUGAAUAGCUCAAGCACUUUACCUUAAAAAUUUUAAAUUAUCUAAUAGGGAUGGGAAAAUAUUUCGCGACCGCCCGAUAUUACAGUGUCCUAUCUCGAACAGAAGGAAAUUUCUACUUCAUUAGAAGAUCAUGGGAAUGAAGAACAUGGUCCCUGUCCCAAAUUUCUUAUACAUUCCUAAAUCUUAUAAUUUUAGAAAAUAUUAAAAAAAUAAUUAAACAACAUAUUAAAUGGAGAUAUUAUAAUUCACGCUCCUCUCUUCUUCUCUCGAUAAUCUUGUCAAAGCGGUCUCAUUUGCUUGACCUUAUACCUUCAAUUUUUUAUUUUUUAAGACAAUAUCAAACACACCUCUCGAACUUUUACGCGCAAUCACUUUUACUCAUACCUCAUAUAAGUUGGGUUUAUUAUCAAGUAAAGAAGAAAUUUUCUACAAUUCGUGCAGUUAUGGUUAAUUCGUUCAAAGUAAACUAUGUAAAUAUAAAUUGACAUAUAGUAAAUAGAAUUCGUUUGACGUUGUUUAAAUUUAACUAUAUGUAAUUUUUUAUUUUUUAAGACAAUAUCAAACACACCUCUCGAACUUUUACGCGCAAUCACUUUUACUCAUACCUCAUAUAAGUUGGGUUUAUUAUCAAGUAAAGAAGAAAUUUUCUACAAUUCGUGCAGUUAUGGUUAAUUCGUUCAAAGUAAACUAUGUAAAUAUAAAUUGACAUAUAGUAAAUAGAAUUCGUUUGACGUUGUUUAAAUUUAACUAUAUGUAUUUAGUUAUUUUGUUUAUAGGUAGGAUUACUUUUGUGAACAUUUAUGUUUAGACAUAUAUCAAAUUUAAUUUGACAAAUUAGUUAUUUACGAGUAUAAAUAAAUAUCAAAUAAUAAAAAAUGAUAUUAUGAUAUUCUUUUGAAAUAUUUUAAUGAUUAAUAUAUUAAAAUUCGACUGUAUAACAAUGUCAUCAUUAAAUAAUAAAUUCUGAGGGUAUGCAAUGAUUUAAUGAAUUAAUGUAUACUAUAUUUUAAUUAAAUUUUACUUGAAUUGAUUCAAAAUAAUAUGUUUAGUAGACAAAUAAGUGUACUUCAAGAUAUAUUUUUCUUCUAGGUGGAGGAGUUGUAUCUUCGAGAACUAGUAAGAAGUUAUAAUUGCAUCUACUACAAUGAAGGUAGAACUAAUUGGUUUCUAUAAAGCUACAACACUCACAUUAUUGUUGGGAAAUUUCAUCAAAGCGUUAAACGUUGUUGAUACUAUAGGGAAGCCUUUGAAGAUUUAUUGCGAUAGUUCGAUUGUACUUUUCUUUUCAAAAAAUAAUAAAAGUAGAAGUCGAAGUAAAAAUAUCACUAUAAAAUAUCUGGUUGUUAGAGAUCAUAAAAUGAAAAAUAAAGUGAUCAAUGAGCAUAUCAAGAAAGAUUUUGUGAUAGCAGAUCACGUGACUAAAGGCUUGUCAGAUAAAGUUCAUGAAUAGCUUGUUGAGAACAUGAGAUUUGCUUGCACUAUCAUGGUACUCUAAUUUUUUGUGUUUAAGAUUGUUUUUUCUAUGUUUUAAACGAUGUUAUUGGUGCAAAGUUUAUGAUCGAUAUUCAAUUGUGAUCCCCCCCCCCCCCCCCCCGGGGUCGUUAUCGACCUUAAGAAUGACUUUUCAACAAAUCUUACAUUUCAUAUUUCUAUAUACCGUGACUCUAAAAAAGAAACGAAGGCUAUUAACUAAUGGUUUAACUCUCUUCUGGUUAAUGAAAUAAAACCAAUGUGCUCUAGCAUUCUAUGAACAUGACAAGAAUAUCUUUAGUUAGAAACCAAGAAGCAAUAUGCUUUCAGUUGCAUCGAUCUAUUUACAGGUCCGACUAUCAAUUAUUGAAACAAGAGGAUCCAUGAAAGAUACCGGUAUACAACUUAUAUGACAGUGGAGAAGCUGAUGAGCGAAGAUCUUUAUGUAUAUGAGAUCCUGACCAUCAAUUCCAUGCCAGGUGAAACACCUUGAGUACUCCUCUAGUUGGCUAAGAUUCUUGAUCUUCCUCAGUCAGCAAAUAUUUCAACCCUCUUGCUAAGGGACGAGUUAUUUUCAUGCGCUGCUGUCCUUACUGCUGUAAUUUGUGUGAAGGUACGCCCUUUGAUCUUCAUCCUACAUAGCAUGAAAAAGAAUUAACAGCAGACAAAAGACUGAUGCCUUGAAACUACAAAAGCGAAAAGAUUGACCGUCAUGUUUCAUAUAAAAGGGAUAGCACUAAAGUGAUAAAGAAGACCGAAUUUCGUCUCACCCCUUCCAUAUCCUCAUCAGACGCAUUAUUUAUUCUUGAGUACAAGGUCACUUCAUCAAUUUCACUUACGGUCUUCAUAUUUUCCUGUUAUUACGUCAUGAGUAAUUAAGGAUUAGAUGUUUUGGACCAAGGGUAAGCUUAAAGCGAUAAAAUAUUCAUUAAAGAGCAAUCAUACUAGCUCAAGCUUUAGCUUCUCCAUUUUCUCUUGCAGGUCUGAAAUAUGGUGCUUUAGUCCCUGAAAAUUUUUAAACAGAGUUUUGUAAUCAAUAUUAAUAUAUUCAAUAACGAGCCUGAAAAAAAUGAAAAGUCGAACUGUAAAAACGAGUAAAAGUCAUAAGAUCACCUCACGUCUCUGAAGUUCAAUCGAGCGGGCUAAUGCCUGCCUUUUUGUCAGAAGAUUUUUGGGCCUAAAUGCACUAGGGCGUUGGUAAUUCUUUCCACGAUAGACUAUCACAGCAUAGCCCUUGGCAGUUUUGUCUACGGAAACUAACACCCCACCACUCUCAGCCUCAAGAGAAACUGCAAUAUGCUUGACUUGUGAAAAUGUUUUUCGGUCUACAAGUAUCUUUACCAACUCUCGAUACUUCCAAUGUAAGUGCAUAUUUUCUAUAGUGCCAUCAAAAACUUCUCGCCUCCCUACAGUCAAAAGAUAACAAUAAGCCCAGUUCUGUACCCCAUUAAUCUAAUAUAUUACACGGGAUGAAAUUCUUACCUAGAAGCAAAUAAGGUUUCAUGCUCAGACCAAUCUUACGAAACAAAAACCUCUCCUCGUCACUUAAGGUUUCUAAAUCAGUUGGUAGCUCCGAGGGUUCCAGACUUCCCUGUAGUUUCAUUAAAGCCUUCUCAGCCUUUCUGAUCUUCCCGCUUGCCUGCAGGCACAUUAGAGUAUAUGGUAGUAAAAAAUGUAAGUUCUAAACAAGUUCUUUCAAGAAAAUGCUUAAAUAUCACAGCUCACAAGGGCUAGCUUCCUCUCAAGAAACUUGACCAAAGAAGCACGUCUAGCUAUAGCCGAAUCUCUCAUCAUUUUCUCUAUUUCUGCACUGCUUGGCUCUUUUCCCCAUCGUGAGGUAGCGGCUGUUGUCUCAGCAAGGGUCCCUGCAACUAAAGGCUGCUUAGCUGCUUCGGAAUAUGAAAUAAUAGAUGUCGCUGCUUUCUGCCUUGCUCGUU
RNAcentral lists this long non-coding RNA (6179 nucleotides) under Olea europaea (common olive). RNAcentral's name for it is "long non-coding RNA (OEUR_LNC004347)". Lineage: Eukaryota; Viridiplantae; Streptophyta; Magnoliopsida; Lamiales; Oleaceae. The record is from RNAcentral.